This 466-nucleotide ribosomal RNA is filed under the name uncultured bacterium. Its description in RNAcentral is "partial 16S ribosomal RNA". It matches the Rfam family "Bacterial small subunit ribosomal RNA", at positions 28 to 505 of the family's 1533-position model. The record is from RNAcentral.
GACGAACGCUGGCGGCGUGCUUAACACAUGCAAGUCGAACGGAAAGGCCCUGCUUUUGUGGGGUGCUCGAGUGGCGAACGGGUGAGUAACACGUGAGUAACCUGCCCUUGACUUUGGGAUAACUUCAGGAAACUGGGGCUAAUACCGGAUAGGAGCUCCUGCUGCAUGGUGGGGGUUGGAAAGUUUCGGCGGUUGGGGAUGGACUCGCGGCUUAUCAGCUUGUUGGUGGGGUAGUGGCUUACCAAGGCUUUGACGGGUAGCCGGCCUGAGAGGGUGACCGGCCACAUUGGGACUGAGAUCCGGCCCAGCCUCCUACGGGAGGCAGCAGUGGGGAAUAUUGCACAAUGGGCGGAAGCCUGAUGCAGCAACGCCGCGUGCGGGAUGACGGCCUUCGGGUUGUAAACCGCUUUCGCCUGUGACGAAGCGUGAGUGACGGUAAUGGGUAAAGAAGCACCGGCUAACUACG